This 903-nucleotide long non-coding RNA is filed under the name Equus asinus (donkey). RNAcentral describes it as "lncRNA (ENSEASG00005025249.1)". The record is from RNAcentral. Lineage: Eukaryota; Metazoa; Chordata; Mammalia; Perissodactyla; Equidae.
AUUGGCUGACAUGUGGCAGUUUCUCAUUGGCUGGGCUGUUGCCGGGUGGGAGAGAAAUCUUCCUUCCUAGUAAAGCAGUUGUAUUUCCCGUCCACGUGCAAGUGUCCACGUCUUCUUGUUCAGCAUAACUGACUUGUGUGAUGGGGUGUGAGAGCACUUCUACAGGCCUUCUUGAUCCAGGAAGAUUAGCCCUGAGCUAACAUCUGUGCCCAUCUUCCUCUGCUUUAUAUGUGGGACGCCUACCACAGCAUGGCUUGCCACGUGGUGCCACGUCUGCACCUGGGAUGUGAACUGGCGAACCCCAGGCCACUGCAGCAGAACAUGUGCACUUAACCACUGCGCAACCGGGCCAGCCCCACCAAACGUUUUUUGAUGAAAAUCAUGUAAAAUAGAACUUAUCAGAAUUGUUUGUAGGGCACAGACCUUUGUAGGGCAGUACUACAAACAGUGAGUGUAUAAGUAGACAGUGCUGCACAUUCACACAGCCCUGCUGUCAGUGAUAAACACACUCGACCACACUUGAGGACAGACUGAAUUAUUAUUCCAUUAUAUGUAGAGAAAAUGAUACUGGAACAUCAUCGUCACCUGAAAGGCUCUCAAAGGGUAUACUACCAAAAAUAUGAGAAAAAAGUAUUGUAGAGGUAUUCCAGGCAGUUAAUGGAAAAAUAUAUGGUUAUUCCAGACCUUGUGAUCUUUGUAAUAUUAGUCAACCUUUUAAAAUUGGCAAUUUGCAUGGUUUAUUUUUUCAUUCACUUUUGUAUCUGAUUUUUAUUCUUAAUUUUAAAUCAUUUUUCUUUAAAGAGGACCCCCAAAGUUGUAAAAAUCUUCAGAUACCUCAGAACCUGGAUUUGUCCCUGAGCGCCAACUCUGUGUCAGAUGCGUGCUCUUUCUUAGAGAUACAAU